RNAcentral lists this ribosomal RNA (253 nucleotides) under uncultured bacterium. RNAcentral describes it as "partial 16S ribosomal RNA". It matches the Rfam family "Bacterial small subunit ribosomal RNA", at positions 524 to 776 of the family's 1533-position model. The record is from RNAcentral.
UACGGAAUGUGCAAACGUUAUUCGGAAUCACUGGGCUUAAAGAGUCCGUAGGCGGCAUGUUAGGUGAGGUGUGAAAUCCCCCGGCUCAACCGAGGAAUUGCGCUUCAAACCGGCGUGCUUGAGGAAGAUAGAGGUGGGCGGAACUGAUGGUGGAGCGGUGAAAUGCGUAGAGAUCAGGAAGAACACCAGUGGCGAAGGCGCUCUGCUAGGCCGUAACUGACACUGAGGGACGAAAGCUAGGGGAGCGAAUGGG